Molecule: microRNA precursor, 109 nt
Filed under: Podarcis lilfordi (Lilford's wall lizard)
Lineage: Eukaryota; Metazoa; Chordata; Lepidosauria; Squamata; Lacertidae
Source: RNAcentral
GUAGCACCUUAGAGACCAACUAAGUUUGUUCUUGGUAUGAACUUUUGUGUGCAUGCACACUUCAAAAGCUCAUACCAAGAACAAACUUAGUUGGUUUCUAAGGUGCUAC